CCUUCGAUAGCUCAGCUGGUAGAGUGGAGGACUGUAAAUCCUCAAGUCACUGGUUCGAUUCCGGCUCGAAGGA
RNAcentral lists this transfer RNA (73 nucleotides) under Ornithorhynchus anatinus (platypus). RNAcentral's name for it is "tRNA-Tyr (GTA) (tRNA-Tyr-GTA-9-1)". It matches the Rfam family "tRNA". From Rfam's summary of the family: Transfer RNA (tRNA) molecules are approximately 80 nucleotides in length. The record is from RNAcentral. Lineage: Eukaryota; Metazoa; Chordata; Mammalia; Monotremata; Ornithorhynchidae.